RNAcentral lists this microRNA precursor (140 nucleotides) under Marmota monax (woodchuck). Lineage: Eukaryota; Metazoa; Chordata; Mammalia; Rodentia; Sciuridae. The record is from RNAcentral.
GUGGAUAUUCCCAAUCUCUCUCUCUCUCUCUCUCUCUCUCUCUCUCUCUCUCUCUCUCUCUCUCUGUGUGUGUGUGUGUGUGUGUGUGUAGAGAGAGAGAAAGAGAGAGAGAGAGAAAGGGAGAAGAGAUGCUAAUGGGG